This 253-nucleotide ribosomal RNA is filed under the name uncultured bacterium. RNAcentral describes it as "partial 16S ribosomal RNA". It matches the Rfam family "Bacterial small subunit ribosomal RNA", at positions 524 to 776 of the family's 1533-position model. The record is from RNAcentral.
UACGGAGGGUGCAAGCGUUAAUCGGAAUUACUGGGCGUAAAGGGUGCGUAGGUGGUUUGAUAAGUUAACUGUGAAAGCCCUGGGCUCAACCUGGGAAGGCCAGUUAAGACUGUUGAACUAGAGUAUGGGAGAGGAUAGUGGAAUUUCCGGUGUAGCGGUGAAAUGCGUAGAGAUCGGAAGGAACACCAGUGGCGAAGGCGGCUAUCUGGCCUAAUACUGACACUGAAGCACGAAAGCGUGGGGAGCAAACAGG